RNAcentral lists this long non-coding RNA (2457 nucleotides) under Homo sapiens (human). RNAcentral's name for it is "HSALNT0281925". Lineage: Eukaryota; Metazoa; Chordata; Mammalia; Primates; Hominidae. The record is from RNAcentral.
GGUUACUUUCCUUUUCCCAUUAGGAUCAUCUCCUCCUUGAAUUCCUCUUCUAGCAUAUUUCACCUUUGGUGCCACACAUUGGUCUCAGGACCCACUUUGGAUACCCUUUCGGUGACAUCUCAUUGAGCAGUUCUCAACCCAUGCCGCUUAAAUUUCUAUGUUGUCUGCCCCACAGAUUGCUAUAACUCCUGGUUUGGAGUUCCCUUAUCAACCAUAGAUCCAACCUUGCCCCACCCAAGCUCUUCACCAAGAAGACAGAUUAAACACAAAGCUGAGCUCCUGUAAACUCAGCUUGUGGUAGGCAUGUGAGCAGAACUGGAGCAAGUUCACAUGGCCGUGGGAGAUCUGCAUGGUAGGCUUCUACCUGACAUAGCCUGAGCUUCAGGAAGUCGUGCCUGCUGAGCAUCCUCGAGGGGCCGUGGUUACGCCCACACUAUUGCAUUCCCUGAAAGGCAAACUUCUGUCCUACUUUUUCUGUGACUCACUCGGUGCCUGUUCCCUCUUGGAAUUAACCCAAGGAAAAGAGUCCUCUCAGCAAAACAAAGUUAGCUUGCUUCCUUGUGUGUGGCCUGCUUAUUUUAUUUUUUAGAGCUAUACUUCAGAAGUGCAGAGCAGCCUGAGGGCCCUUUUUCUCCAUUUUAUUUUGUGUGUCUUCUUAAAAAUUGUAUCUUGGCUAGAACUACUCUUUCUUCCUUGGUGGUUUUAUAACUCACAAGGUGAAUGGUGAUACCCUGAAAGAUCAACAGGAAUACCCUCAGGGUGGGAAUAUAAAUCUAGUCCCUCUUACUCUAUCCUGCCCAGAAGUGGAAAUAUGAUCCUUCCAUUAUAAAAUAAAGAAUGGUCCUAAGAUUUGAGAACUCCAAAAGGACUUAGUGUUACGGAAUAAAGGUGAACAACCAUUUGGGACUGUUUAUCUACUUGCUAUCUCUCUUUUGAGAGAGAAUAAUGUCUCAAGAGCUCCAUUCUCUGAUGCCUGCAGUAUGUUAUGAAUCAGUAGAGAAUCUUUCUGUCUGUGCUUGGAUCUUGGGCUGGAAGUGUCAGGAAUUAUUGCUUCCCGGGAGCGUGCCUUAACCAAUGAUGCUUAGGAGUUGGUAUACAAAUGUUUCAACUCCUUCACCGCUCAAGUGGAAUGAUUCUGAGAAUUGUAUCCCUAAUAAAGUGCAAGCAAAUAGCUCCAGAAGCCUCAGCUCUGCUUUCUGCUGAACCCAAGUUAUAAAUGAUGUGAACUUGGAAAAGCUCUAAGGCAGCCCAGGAAAAGGCAGACAAGAAACCAUCAUGAAUGGGUGCUGCAUGAGCAGAGAUUGUCAAGAAAAUGGGAUGGUAAUUUGCAUAGGUCCACAAAGCGAACAUUGAUUUGAAGUGUUCCUGUGAAUGGCCAGUAGACAGGAUAUAGAAACAGACAGGAAAUCAUAAAGUGGAGAAUGGUGUAUAAGAUGGAGUUUCAGCCUGGGGAAGUACAUAAAAUAAUGCCAUGUCAAGGUCAUAAGAACUUCGACAGUCAGGGAGAUGACAAAUAGAAAACUGAUUCAUAAAUCCUGAAAUAAAAUAUUACUACCUAAACUCUAAAUCAGAUGGCCACCAGGUCAAAAAUAAAUUACAAGGUGAAUCUAAUGUAGCUAUGUAAUUAAAAAUUGGCCAUGUUGAUGAGGCAAGAAAUUUUGGCAAUAACAGUAAUGAAGGUGUCAGGGCUCAGAAAAUGACAUGCCAAAUUAUGGCACUUUAGUGUGCUGAGUACUUUGAACUAAAGGAGAUUGGAAUGCCUCAGAAGCAAAGCCACUCUAUCCCCCACCUUUCUGUGUAGGUGUAUAGCAGAUGCAUCUGACAGCAAUAACUUAAGCAUACCCUGAGAAAGACCCUCAAGUCUAAGAAGAAUGUGUGUUUGGAGUUCUGAGCUAAGAAAUCCAGGAGUGGCAAACCUAGAGAUUCGCUCCUUGUCUAUGAAGGACAUAUGACCCCCUGGCCCAUGCCUUGGAAUGCAGGCCAUAUAGGGGAUUAAGGUCCUUUGUUUUGGGUUAUAUGGAGGUUGUUAGGUGGAGGGUGGUAGCAGGUUUUCAGUCCAGCCCACCACCACUGUACUGCCCCAUAUGUAAGUCCUCAGUAAACCCUAUGUGUCAUCUGCUGGUUCCGGGUCUCCUCUCUUCUUCCGCUUCUAGGACAUGGUGCUAUCCCUAUUGGAGUCAGUAGGUCUGGCACAACAGUAGGAGCUGGCCAUAAAGAAAUUCUCUGACCUACCUUGUCUGAUAGCAGGUCAUAAGAUCCUUAUUCCAGAGGGGUCCUGCCCCAUACCUGGGAGAAAGGAAUGCUACACAGAGGUCAAGGAGAAGCCAAACAAGCAGGACUUAAUGGGUUUCCCACUCCGUCUAUUGCCAUUAGAUCAUACAUUUUUUGUGUGGAAUCAUAUUUCUACAUGGUUGUCCAUUCUUCAUGAAAACUAAGAAUAAAAGUAGACAAUUUUCC